This 425-nucleotide ribosomal RNA is filed under the name Mnestia villica. RNAcentral's name for it is "Ventomnestia villica partial 16S ribosomal RNA". It matches the Rfam family "Bacterial large subunit ribosomal RNA", at positions 1811 to 2605 of the family's 2925-position model. The record is from RNAcentral. Lineage: Eukaryota; Metazoa; Mollusca; Gastropoda; Cephalaspidea; Mnestiidae.
AAACAUAGCUCUGAGGAUAUAUUUAGGGUGAGGCCUGCCCAAUGAGAAAUUUAAUGGCCGCGGUACUUUGACCGUGCUAAGGUAGCAUAAUCAGUUGACUUUUAAAUGAAGUCUGGAAUGAAAGGGAAAACGGAGUUUGGCUGUCUCUAUUAUUUUAAUUUAAAUUUACUAACUAGAUGAAAAGGUCUAGAAUAAAUAAAAGACGAGAAGACCCUAAGAGUUUUAAUUAAUGAUUUUUGUUGGGGCGAUAAAAGGUCAUAAUUAACACCUUUUUGUUAUAAGACGGAUUUAUCAUGAAAAAAUAAACUACCUUAGGGAUAACAGCAUAAUCUUAUUAAGUUUAUGACCUCGAUGUUGGACUAGGAAGCUAUUAGGCUAGCCGCCUAAAAAGGGAAUUCUGUUCGAAUUAUAACUCCUACGUGAUC